ACGGAAGGCAGCAGUGGGGAAUUUUGCGCAAUGGGGGGAACCCUGACGCAGCAACGCCGCGUGCGGGACGAAGGCCUUCGGGUCGUAAACCGCUUUCAGCAGGGAAGAUAGUGACGGUACCUGCAGAAGAAGCUCCGGCUAACUACGUGCCAGCAGCCGCGGUAAUACGUAGGGAGCGAGCGUUAUCCGGAUUCAUUGGGCGUAAAGCGCGCGUAGGCGGCCGCCUAAGCGGAACCUCUAAUCCCGGGGCUCAACCUCGGGCCGGGUUCCGAACUGGGCGGCUCGAGUGCGGUAGGGGCAGGCGGAAUUCCCGGUGUAGCGGUGGAAUGCGCAGAUAUCGGGAGGAACACCGAUGGCGAAGGCAGCCUGCUGGGCCGACACUGACGCUGAGGCGCGAAAGUGUGGGGAGCAAACAGGAUUAGAUACCCUGGUA
Molecule: ribosomal RNA, 433 nt
Filed under: uncultured Adlercreutzia sp.
Lineage: Bacteria; Bacillati; Actinomycetota; Coriobacteriia; Eggerthellales; Eggerthellaceae
Description: partial 16S ribosomal RNA
Rfam family: Bacterial small subunit ribosomal RNA
Source: RNAcentral